RNAcentral lists this ribosomal RNA (279 nucleotides) under uncultured bacterium. RNAcentral describes it as "partial 16S ribosomal RNA". It matches the Rfam family "Bacterial small subunit ribosomal RNA", at positions 506 to 784 of the family's 1533-position model. The record is from RNAcentral.
UGCCAGCAGCCGCGGUAAUACGAAGGGGGCUAGCGUUGUUCGGAAUUACUGGGCGUAAAGCGCGCGUAGGCGGCUACGUAAGUUGGGGGUGAAAGCCCGGAGCUCAACUCCGGAACUGCCCUCAAAACUGUGUAGCUAGAAAUCUGGAGAGGUGAGUGGAACUCCUAGUGUAGGGGUGAAAUCCAUAGAUAUUAGGAAGAACACCAGUGGCGAAGGCGGCUCACUGGCCAGAUAUUGACGCUGAGGUGCGAAAGCGUGGGGAGCAAACAGGAUUAGAUA